UUCCAGAGCAGUUUCGCUUACAGACGCCGCAAGUUGAAGCUCAGAUCAUUUCCACGUGUCAUGAAACUUUUUUCUGCAAUCAUUAUGAAACGUAAAAACCAUUUUUACCCAAUCAUUACAAAACGUAGGUUUUGCAUUUUUAGCACACAGACCGUGGAAACAAGCGAGGCUGUGCCCCCAAGCUAAAGCAACUCACCGUGGUUCGUGGUUCGACCCAGUGAUUUUUCAACUUGCUGGUGGAGUAAAGCAUUUGCGUGCAAUCAUUCUGUUUCCCUUUCAAGACCCAGGAAGUGAGGUGACACACUCAACAGAAGCUUAAACCAGGCUCUGCGGAGAUGACUCGGCCCCCCGGGGACAAUGCGCGUGCUCUGAGGAUGUCUAAGGAGCCAGUUUGCGAUUCUUGGACAUUCGGCUUCCCGUGGCGUUGACAGAGCAUUCGGACGAGCAGGUGAAUUGCUCCGGUGUGUUUUCCAGGUGUGUCCUGGCCUCAGAGCAGUGAUUGCUGAAAGCCAAGCACAAGCCGAUACCUGCAGCCGAGAAGACCCCUGGACGCAUUCCUGAUUCCAGCACCGUUUCAUCCUUCAGGUUUCAGGCCAUGGUUGGCUGCUGGUAACUGAAAUCAUGAGAGGCGAUAAUCGUGGAUCACAAGGACCCCUGUGGAAAUCGCUACACACAAAGAGCUUAGAACAGAGCCUGACCCACCGUGAGCACUGUGCAGUCACCUAUUCUAAGCCAAAGCGCAUCUACGGACAGAUUGGGAGAGCGCCCAGACGUGAAGGGAAGAGUGCCCAGACCUGUGCUGGUGGCUCCAUGUGCCACUUCCAAGGACUCGCAUCUGGCGCAGGAUCCAAUGUUUCCCAUUUGUAAGCACUAAAAUUAGUCCAACUGUGCUUGCUAAUUCUGUAGACACAACCCAGCUUGUGCAAAUGUCCUCUCUUCCAUUUCUGGGUGGAUUUUUGCAUAUUCCUGACUGCCAAUUUUGUGUUCUUAGGGGAAGAUAGAAGUCGAAAAUCAUCUAGCUGCUUACUGUGAAACACAUGCUGUGCAGCCCAGAGUUCUGGUUUAGGGAGAGGGGCUACACGCACCGUGCUCAUAAGACAAACUCGCCCAAGCGUCCCGUGUUGCUCACCGCUGCAUGCAGAAGAAAGAACGGGAACUGUGAUUUAUUGAGCACUUACUAUGGACCAAGGAAUUCAGCAAGCUUUUCUUUAUUUGACAUAAUUUCAUCUGAUGUUCACAGCAAUCUUAUACAAUUUCUUUUAAUCGCCAUUUUACAGACAAGGAAAUUCAGCGUCUAAAGAUUUAGUAACUUGUCCAAAGGUGCAGCCAAAAAAUGGACCUGGUUGAGAUUUGAGCCCAGAUCUUUUCGACUACAAAGGCUGAAUUCUUAACCUCAGUGCUCCGUCUGCCUCGCCCUGCCCCUGGGCCCCGGCCUGGGUGGACACCAUCAGCGGGCUCCCGGCUCUCAGGCCUCUCAGUGGCUUUGUUGGAGAAGACAACGGGGCAUGGGCAGGAAGACAAUGAGGUCUGGACUUUGGUUCCCUGGGCUCCUCCUGGCUUCAUCGUGGAGAGCGGGCUGUGCCUCUCGCCAAAGACAGAACUCUCUGUGGAUGACUCCCUCCUUACAGCUCCUCUGUCCGCUUCAGGAACUGACCGUCUGAUGACCCUCUACCGCGCUGAUCUCCUUACGCCUCCCCACACCUGGGCAAACCUUCUCUUUAUUCAACACUCCCAAGAUGACCCAGUGUGAGCCCUCUCUUCCCCACCAGGCUCCUGACCCUACACCAACAUCAUCUCCAAGUUGUAGGGGAAGAGACUAGUACUUGGAGAAAGUAAGUCAUUGCUCAGGGUCAGUGGCCUGGGGCUUGAAUUUGGGUUAAGAGUCCAAGCUCUUAGCUUCUUAAUGACUGCAUAAAAAAUAAAAUAUGUGGUACAUUAGGUUAGGCCACAGCUGGGGUGCCCACAUCCCAUAUCAAAGUACCUGGAAAGCAGUGCCACCUCUUCUUCUUUUUUCUUUUCUAAGAUUUAUUUAUUUAUUUGAAAUGCAGAGUUACAGAGUAACAGAGGGAGAGAGAGAGAGAGAUCUUCUAUCAGCUGGUUCACUUCCCAAACAACCAUAACAGCUGGGGCAGGGCCAGGCCAAAGCCAGGAACCAGGAGCUUCCUCCGGAUCACUCAUGUGGGUGCAGGGGCCCAAGGACUUAGGCCAUCCUUGGCUGCCUUCCCAGGCACUCCAGCAAUGAGUUGGAUCGGAAGCAGAGCAGCUGGGGCUUGAACUGGCACCCACAUGGGAUGCAGACUGCAGACUACAGCCCAACCUGCUGCGCCACAGUGCCGGCCCCUCUGCUUCUUCUGAUUUAGCUUCCUGUCAAUACACUUGGGAAGCUCAAGUACUAGGGUUCCUGCCACUCAUGGGGGAAAACUGGAUGUAGUUACCGGCUCCUGGCUUUAGCCUGACCCAGCCUUGGCUAUUGUGGGCAUUUGGGAAAUGGCCUAGCAGAAGGAAGAUCUGUCUCUCUCUGUCUCUCCCUGUCUCUCUGUCACUCUGCCUCUCAAAGAAACAAGUAGAUCUAAGAAAAAUAAAAAAUAAAAUACACUUAUUUUCACUGCCCCUUUCACGCCUUUAUUUCAUGAAUGCUAGCUCACUUUUGUAGCUAAUACUUGUUAUCCCCAUUUUACAAGUGAGAAAACUGAGGCUCAAAGGGAAUUCACCUGCUCAAGGGCACAAAGUCACAAAGAGGCACAGCUAAGACAUGAACCCCAGGCUGUCCAGACAACCUGCCUUUCACAGAAGCUGCAGGGGUGGGUGGAAGGCGGGGAAAGAAGGCACCUGUGUCCAUGGAGGAGUUCGCAGGGUGGGUCUAAGGGAUGGAUCCACUCGUGAGUCCAAGAGACAAGCUUGGGGCUGAGGGUGGCAGCAAAGGGUGCCAGCCAGGAGGCCUUUGCCAAGGAGAACAAGGAUCCUUGGGUCGCCCCUAGGUUGGGCCGGUUGAGUAGGGCCUACAUGCAGGUCUGUUGGUAGACAUUUGCCCAGUAUUGACUGUGUGCCAGGGAUGGUACUGGGCUCUGGGGUGCCCUGUGUAGGGGCAGAGGAACAAAGAGCAGGCCUAAGCUGCAGAUGGGAAAUGGGCAUGAGGCCAAGCUUGUCUUAGCCCUGCCCAUCACCUCAUCCCUGGAAGCCCUCUCAUCAAGGCUACCCCCAAAACGCCGCUCCACACCACAGUGUCCCACUGGAGUCAUCAUAUACUUGACUCUGCCUUUCUCUCCAACAUGCAGCUCAGCCCUGCUUAAAUCAGCCUCUGCA
This is a non-coding RNA of Oryctolagus cuniculus (rabbit), 3303 nucleotides long. Lineage: Eukaryota; Metazoa; Chordata; Mammalia; Lagomorpha; Leporidae. The record is from RefSeq and is a predicted model, not a curated record.